ACCCUAUACAACCCCCUGACGCCUUCCGUCCUGUAGAUCUUCGUCAAACCAUCAAUCAUCCCAUUGUAUCUCUUGUGUUCGGCGAUGGUGUGCUCCUCGCUGUACUGGAGGCAGAGCCUGGUCUUAACGACCCAUAUGGGGUUGGUCAUCACCAAUGAUAGUAUGCCAGCCUGAGCUGCGGCCAGCAUGUGGAGACCUGGCCCGAGAGGUGUUCGUGCGUUACCCCCUUGUAUCCACGUUUUUAUUGCGUUAUAGCUGAAAGUAUACACGCGAAUCGAUUUUUAAUGUUUUUAUUAUAAUCAUUUUGAUUCCAGGACUUUCGUUAUUGUCAGACCAAGGUUUGUAUAGAAAAAAGAAACAUGGUGGUGAGU
Molecule: unclassified non-coding RNA, 371 nt
Filed under: Melitaea cinxia (Glanville fritillary)
Lineage: Eukaryota; Metazoa; Arthropoda; Insecta; Lepidoptera; Nymphalidae
Description: misc RNA ENSMCXG00005013449.1
Source: RNAcentral